Molecule: ribosomal RNA, 402 nt
Filed under: Cercozoa sp.
Lineage: Eukaryota; Cercozoa
Description: partial small subunit ribosomal RNA
Rfam family: Eukaryotic small subunit ribosomal RNA
Source: RNAcentral
AUUCCAGCUCCAAUAGCGUAUAUUAAAGUUGUUGCAGUUAAAAAGCUCGUAGUUGGAUUUCUGGUUCAGAGGGCUUGGCCCAUGGCCAAUUCUAGGUUCAUGAGUGCCGAUGCUUUCGUACCAUCCUUCCGGUGAUGAUUCAGGUCCCCUUCAUUGGGUCAGCCUGGUUGUUCCGGAUCUUUUACUUUGAAAAAAUUAGAGUGUUUAAAGCAAGCUGUGUGUUGAAUACAUUAGCAUGGAAUAAUAAUCUAGGACUUUGGUUCUAUUUUGUUGGUUUCUAGCGCCAAAGUAAUGAUUGAUAGGGAUAGUUGGGGGUGCUAGUAUUUACCGGCCAGAGGUGAAAUUCUUGGAUUCGGUAAAGACUAACUUAUGCGAAAGCAUUCACCAAGGAUGUCUUCAUCA